AUUGAACGCUGGCGGCAUGCUUUACACAUGCAAGUCGAACGGUAACAGGCCUUCGGGUGCUGACGAGUGGCGAACGGGUGAGUAAUGCAUCGGAACGUACCCAGAGGUGGGGGAUAACGCAGCGAAAGCUGUGCUAAUACCGCAUGUGAUCUGAGGAUGAAAGCGGGGGACCGAGCAGCAAUGUUUGGCCUCGCGCCUUUGGAGCGGCCGAUGUCGGAUUAGCUAGUUGGUGGGGUAAAGGCCUACCAAGGCGACGAUCCGUAGCUGGUCUGAGAGGACGACCGGCCACACUGGGACUGAGACACGGCCCAGACUCCUACGGGAGGCAGCAGUGGGGAAUUUUGGACAAUGGGCGCGAGCCUGAUCCAGCAAUGCCGCGUGCGGGAAGAAGGCCUUCGGGUUGUAAACCGCUUUUGGCAGGAACGAAACGGUGUCCGCUAAUACCGGGCGCUAAUGACGGUACCUGCAGAAUAAGCACCGGCUAACUACGUG
This 492-nucleotide ribosomal RNA is filed under the name uncultured bacterium. RNAcentral describes it as "partial 16S ribosomal RNA". It matches the Rfam family "Bacterial small subunit ribosomal RNA", at positions 29 to 507 of the family's 1533-position model. The record is from RNAcentral.